CCCUGAGCGUUCCCCCGGUCUGACCCGUUGGACCCUAAGGGGCAGCUGAGAGGGUGCAGGACGCAGACAGGGAGGCAGCUGGGAGGUGCGUCCAGCUGCUCCUUCUGCCAGGCCUGGCAUCCGGAUGCCACGCACUGGCCUCCUCUGAUCCGGGGCUCAUCCAGGGCCGCCUCCCUAUGCCAGACUCUGCAGGACACUUUCAUAAUCUUCUAUGAAGAAGACUAUAAAGAAAGCUGAAUGCCAAAGAAUUGAUGCUUUUGAACUGUGGUGUUGGAGAAGACUCUUGAGAGUCCCUUGGACUGCAAGGAGAUCCAACCAGUCCAUCCUAAAGGAAAUCAGUCCUGAAUAUUCAUUGGAAGGACUGAUGCUGAAGCUGAAACUCCAAUGGCCAAAAUACUUUGGCCACCUGAUGCAAAGCACUGACUCAUUUGAAA
This is a long non-coding RNA of Bos taurus (domestic cattle), 434 nucleotides long. The record is from Ensembl. NCBI's taxonomy places the organism in Eukaryota, Metazoa, Chordata, Mammalia, Artiodactyla, Bovidae.